Molecule: ribosomal RNA, 1452 nt
Filed under: Salmonella enterica subsp. enterica serovar Infantis
Lineage: Bacteria; Pseudomonadati; Pseudomonadota; Gammaproteobacteria; Enterobacterales; Enterobacteriaceae
Description: bacterial SSU rRNA
Rfam family: Bacterial small subunit ribosomal RNA
Source: RNAcentral
CAGGAAGCAGCUUGCUGCUUUGCUGACGAGUGGCGGACGGGUGAGUAAUGUCUGGGAAACUGCCUGAUGGAGGGGGAUAACUACUGGAAACGGUGGCUAAUACCGCAUAACGUCGCAAGACCAAAGAGGGGGACCUUCGGGCCUCUUGCCAUCAGAUGUGCCCAGAUGGGAUUAGCUUGUUGGUGAGGUAACGGCUCACCAAGGCGACGAUCCCUAGCUGGUCUGAGAGGAUGACCAGCCACACUGGAACUGAGACACGGUCCAGACUCCUACGGGAGGCAGCAGUGGGGAAUAUUGCACAAUGGGCGCAAGCCUGAUGCAGCCAUGCCGCGUGUAUGAAGAAGGCCUUCGGGUUGUAAAGUACUUUCAGCGGGGAGGAAGGUGUUGUGGUUAAUAACCGCAGCAAUUGACGUUACCCGCAGAAGAAGCACCGGCUAACUCCGUGCCAGCAGCCGCGGUAAUACGGAGGGUGCAAGCGUUAAUCGGAAUUACUGGGCGUAAAGCGCACGCAGGCGGUCUGUCAAGUCGGAUGUGAAAUCCCCGGGCUCAACCUGGGAACUGCAUUCGAAACUGGCAGGCUUGAGUCUUGUAGAGGGGGGUAGAAUUCCAGGUGUAGCGGUGAAAUGCGUAGAGAUCUGGAGGAAUACCGGUGGCGAAGGCGGCCCCCUGGACAAAGACUGACGCUCAGGUGCGAAAGCGUGGGGAGCAAACAGGAUUAGAUACCCUGGUAGUCCACGCCGUAAACGAUGUCUACUUGGAGGUUGUGCCCUUGAGGCGUGGCUUCCGGAGCUAACGCGUUAAGUAGACCGCCUGGGGAGUACGGCCGCAAGGUUAAAACUCAAAUGAAUUGACGGGGGCCCGCACAAGCGGUGGAGCAUGUGGUUUAAUUCGAUGCAACGCGAAGAACCUUACCUGGUCUUGACAUCCACAGAAGAAUCCAGAGAUGGAUUUGUGCCUUCGGGAACUGUGAGACAGGUGCUGCAUGGCUGUCGUCAGCUCGUGUUGUGAAAUGUUGGGUUAAGUCCCGCAACGAGCGCAACCCUUAUCCUUUGUUGCCAGCGGUCCGGCCGGGAACUCAAAGGAGACUGCCAGUGAUAAACUGGAGGAAGGUGGGGAUGACGUCAAGUCAUCAUGGCCCUUACGACCAGGGCUACACACGUGCUACAAUGGCGCAUACAAAGAGAAGCGACCUCGCGAGAGCAAGCGGACCUCAUAAAGUGCGUCGUAGUCCGGAUUGGAGUCUGCAACUCGACUCCAUGAAGUCGGAAUCGCUAGUAAUCGUGGAUCAGAAUGCCACGGUGAAUACGUUCCCGGGCCUUGUACACACCGCCCGUCACACCAUGGGAGUGGGUUGCAAAAGAAGUAGGUAGCUUAACCUUCGGGAGGGCGCUUACCACUUUGUGAUUCAUGACUGGGGUGAAGUCGUAACAAGGUAACCGUAGGGGAACCUGC